RNAcentral lists this long non-coding RNA (1871 nucleotides) under Chrysemys picta bellii (western painted turtle). Its description in RNAcentral is "lncRNA (ENSCPBG00000007859.1)". Lineage: Eukaryota; Metazoa; Chordata; Testudines; Emydidae. The record is from RNAcentral.
UGGCCGGGAACCAUGGCCAGUGGGAGCUGUGGGGGCGGUGCCUGCAAGCGAGACUGGCGUGUGGAGCCUCCUGGCCCCCGCACCUGGGACCCGGACCUGCUGGCUGCUUCCAGGGUGCGCACAGCGCAAUCAGAGGGGCUGGGAGAGGCUGGGACCCUGCCUUAUCUCCCCCCACCCCAUUGCCCCACUGACCAGGAGCCGCCCGAGGAUUAUUUCCCGGAUUCGUGCCCCAAUCAGAGCUGCCUCCUGCUGGCCAAGAUCCAGGAGGUGAAUCUCGGGCUGCGAAACCUACUGGCCAGCCCUGGAAAGGCUGACCCCCCACCCUGCUUCCCCUCCAGCCGGUUUGGGGGCCCCCUCUUCCAAAUGGGAAAGCAGCAGGAAUUUCAGCAGCAAGCCGUGAACGUGCUGAAGGAGCAGAACCGCCUGCUCAUCAAGGGUGCGGCAAUUGGUCAAGAUGGCCAACUCUCUCGGGGUCUCUGCCCUGCGCCCUGGUGGCUCGGUUGGCUGAGAAGUCGCAUAACAAGAUGGCCACCUGAUUGUUCUAUUCCUAGAGUGGCAAGGGGAGGUGUCGGAGAAGAGCGACCGCAUCGCCCAGCUGGAGCAGGAGAAGGCGGCCCUGUGCAGGCAACUCCAGGAGAGCCGGGGCUACCGGCUGUCCAGCCACAAGGAGUCCACCUUCAUCUGAUGGACGAGGUCACUUCCUCCUGCAGACCUACCUGACGAGGUCACUUCCUCCUGCAGACCUACCUGACGAGGUCACUUCCUCUCUCACACCAGCCAGACCCUUCUGAGAGAAAAGACCUAAUUUUCACCCAACACAAUGAUAUCACUUCCUGUCGAUCUCCCAAGGCCAAUGAGGUUAUUUCCUUCUGUCCCACCCCCCCAAUCCACAAUGAAGUCAUUUCCUGCUGGACCUGGAAGGAACUAGCUCACUUCCUCCUCCUGGCCUAUUAUGUAAUUUCCUCCUUCCUGUCAUUGGUCCAUGAUGUCACUCUCCUGAUGGUAUUACAUCAUCUUCAGACUCUGCUGACAUCACUUCCACUUCAGAGCCUUUAGGUGUCACUUCCUCCCGUUCCUCCUGCUCGCCUUUUCUGAUGAUGUCACUGAGGUCUUCACUUCCUGUCCCUUCUUCCUCCAGCCCCUGUGCGGUUUCAUCAUGGUCAAUUCCAACCCCGCCCCACCCUCUGAGGUCACGGCAUUUCUCAUGGACACACGCACACAGCCUGACACAACCACCCCAUGAUGUCACACUCCUGGCUUCCUGUCAUCUGGGAGCCUCCCGAUGACAUCACUUCCCAUUUUGACAGGCUGGUCUCCGAGACUGGGGAGCAGGGGGAAAACAACAGUGAAGAAUUAUGGGUAACAAGAGGGCUAAUAACCGACUGUCCAAAGAGGCUUUCAAUGGGGAAUACCCACAGUGCUUUGCAUCAGCACCAGCAUGACCCUUCACUAUAGAUCUAUGGGAUCCCCACCCCACCCUGCAUCCCCGUCCACUUCCCCUUUGACUCCCCCUCUCCCCCCACACACACCUGUCAACCUUACUUUUACCUGUGUGCAUUUUCAGGGUUCCCUCCCUGACCCCUCUGUGGAGUGUGACACAUUGUCUAUGUCUAAGUGCCCUCUAGUGGCUGGAUUCAGACCUGCACAUGUGUCAUUAGCCCUCUAGAGCUAAAAGCUGAUGGGGAUUCUCCUUCCACCACCUACCUUUACCCACAGCAUCCCUUUGACAACACAUGGCGUGAGCUUUAACCUCCGUGUUAGCCCCCAUCCACCCCCACUUCAGACAAGGGAUGUGGGGGGAAGACGCCUCCAAGAUAUUUAUUCUAAUGGCUGUAAAUAAAUUGAUUAGAAUUAAUAUAAUAAAGUUAUAA